RNAcentral lists this ribosomal RNA (1269 nucleotides) under Rubiconia intermedia. RNAcentral's name for it is "16S ribosomal RNA". The stretch from base 836 to 1194 matches the Rfam family "Archaeal large subunit ribosomal RNA", at positions 2154 to 2712 of the family's 2987-position model. The record is from RNAcentral. Lineage: Eukaryota; Metazoa; Arthropoda; Insecta; Hemiptera; Pentatomidae.
AAUUGGGGGUUGUUUAAUUUGUAUUAAUUAAUUUUAAUUUUUUUAUAGAAUUAACUUUCUUUUUAGUAUUUUUUAAAAAAUCAAUAUUUUUAUUUAUAGUUUAUUUUACUGUAAAGGUUAAUUAUUGAUUAUAUUAUAAGUAAAAUCUGUUUUUUGUACCUUUUGUAUCAGGGUUUAUUUAAUUUUUUUUAUUUAUUAUAAAUUUCCCGAAAAUAGAGGAUUUACUUUAUUUUGAAGAUUAAUGUUUCAUAAUUAUCUAAAAAUAAAAAGUAGAAGUUAUAUGCUAUUCAUUUCUAUUAUAUCUGGUUUCUUAAUAAUUGAAUUUAAUUCAGGUUUAAUUGUUUAUAAUAGUUUAUUUUAUUAUUUGUUAUAAUUUUAAAUUAAAAUUGGUAAGGAUAAGCUUAUCAAUUGUUCUAUAAUACCCUUUUAUUGUAAUAUAUCGGUAGGAUUAGCAAUUUCCAUCAUUUAUUUUUUAAUAAUUAUUCUAUUUUUAUAAUUUAUUUAUUAGGUUAUUUAGAUUUUUAUUAAGGAUUUAUAUUGAAUAGUUCCAUAUAGGUUAUAAUGAUAAAAUAAGUAAGUGAUUAAAUAACACAUAGUAACUUGGCAAAAUUGUUCUUCACCUGUUUAACAAAAACAUGUCUUGAUGCUGAUAUUAUAUUAAGUCUGGCCUGCUCAAUGAUGUUUUAAAUAGCCGCAGUAUUUUGACUGUGCGAAGGUAGCAUAAUCAUUUGUCUUUUAAUUGAAGGCUUGUAUGAAUGGUCGGAUGAGAGAGCGUCUUUCUUUGUGUUAUUAUAUUGAAUUUAAUUUUUGGGUUAAAAAGCUUAAAUUUUUAAGUGGGACGAGAAGACCCUAUAGAAUUUUAUUUAUGAUAUGGGCUUUAUUAGUUGGGUAAAUUACUCUUGAGGCCUUUUUAUAAAUUUUGUUGGGGUGACAGUGGGAUUUACUAAACUCUCAUAAUUGAUAUUUUAUUGAUUUAUAUAUUAAAGAUCCUUUAUUAAGGAUAAUUAGAUUAAAUUACCUUAGGGAUAACAGCGUAAUUCUUUUGGAGAGUUCUUAUCGAUAAAGGAGUUUGCGACCUCGAUGUUGGAUUAAAAUUAGAUUUAAGUGUAGCAGCUUAAUUUCUAGGUCUGUUCGACCUUUAAUAUUUUACAUGAUCUGAGUUCAGACCGGCGUGAGCCAGGUCGGUUUCUAUCUUUUUAUUUAGUUCUGUGAAUUAGUACGAAAGGACCAUUCACAUCAAAUAUUUUUGUUUAUACUGAAUCAUUUUAA